This 72-nucleotide transfer RNA is filed under the name Actinomycetes bacterium. Its description in RNAcentral is "tRNA-Thr". It matches the Rfam family "tRNA". Rfam says of the family: Transfer RNA (tRNA) molecules are approximately 80 nucleotides in length. The record is from RNAcentral. RNAcentral also lists the same sequence under 1 other name. Lineage: Bacteria; Bacillati; Actinomycetota; Actinomycetes.
GCCCCCGUAGCUCAGUGGCAGAGCACCCGCCUUGUAAGCGGAAGGUCGUGGGUUCGAACCCCACCCGGGGCU